UAGGGAAUCUUCCACAAUGGACGAAAGUCUGAUGGAGCAACGCCGCGUGAGCGAUGAAGGCCUUCGGGUCGUAAAGCUCUGUUGUUAGGGAAGAACAAGUAUCGGAGUAACUGCCGGUACCUUGACGGUACCUAACCAGAAAGCCACGGCUAACUACGUGCCAGCAGCCGCGGUAAUACGUAGGUGGCAAGCGUUGUCCGGAAUUAUUGGGCGUAAAGCGCGCGCAGGCGGUUCCUUAAGUCUGAUGUGAAAGCCCCCGGCUCAACCGGGGAGGGUCAUUGGAAACUGGGGAACUUGAGUGCAGAAGAGAAGAGCGGAAUUCCACGUGUAGCGGUGAAAUGCGUAGAGAUGUGGAGGAACACCAGUGGCGAAGGCGGCUCUUUGGUCUGUAACUGACGCUGAGGCGCGAAAGCGUGGGGAGCAAACA
RNAcentral lists this ribosomal RNA (427 nucleotides) under uncultured Bacillus sp. RNAcentral describes it as "bacterial SSU rRNA". It matches the Rfam family "Bacterial small subunit ribosomal RNA", at positions 355 to 774 of the family's 1533-position model. Lineage: Bacteria; Bacillati; Bacillota; Bacilli; Caryophanales; Bacillaceae. The record is from RNAcentral.